Molecule: ribosomal RNA, 433 nt
Filed under: uncultured bacterium
Lineage: Bacteria
Description: partial 16S ribosomal RNA
Rfam family: Bacterial small subunit ribosomal RNA
Source: RNAcentral
AACGAACGCUGGCGGCAGGCCUAACACAUGCAAGUCGAGCGAGGACUUCGGUCCUAGCGGCGGACGGGUGAGUAACGCGUGGGAACGUUCCCUUUGCUUCGGAAUAGCCCUGGGAAACUGGGCGUAAUACCGGAUGAGCCCUUUGGGGGAAAGAUUUAUCGGCGAAGGAUCGGCCCGCGUUGGAUUAGGUAGUUGGUGGGGUAAUGGCCUACCAAGCCGACGAUCCAUAGCUGGUUUGAGAGGAUGAUCAGCCACACUGGGAAUGAGACACGGCCCAGACUCCUACGGGAGGCAGCAGUGGGGAAUCUUAGACAAUGGGGGAAACCCUGAUCUAGCCAUGCCGCGUGAGCGAUGAAGGCCUUAGGGUUGUAAAGCUCUUUCAGCUGGGAAGAUAAUGACGGUACCAGCAGAAGAAGCCCCGGCUAACUCCGUG